UGCGUAGGCGGAUUGAUAAGUCAGAGGUGAAAUCCCACAGCUUAACUGUGGAACUGCCUUUGAAACUGUUAGUCUUGAGUUAUAUGGAAGUAGAUAGAAUGUGUAGUGUAGCGGUGAAAUGCAUAGAGAUUACACAGAAUACCGAUUGCGAAGGCAGUCUACUACGUAUAUACUGACGCUAAUGGACGAAAGCGUGGGGAGCGAACAGGAUUAGAUACCCUGGUAGUCC
Molecule: ribosomal RNA, 229 nt
Filed under: uncultured bacterium
Lineage: Bacteria
Description: partial 16S ribosomal RNA
Rfam family: Bacterial small subunit ribosomal RNA
Source: RNAcentral